This 1224-nucleotide ribosomal RNA is filed under the name Staphylococcus aureus. Its description in RNAcentral is "partial 23S ribosomal RNA". It matches the Rfam family "Bacterial large subunit ribosomal RNA", at positions 1 to 1226 of the family's 2925-position model. The record is from RNAcentral. Lineage: Bacteria; Bacillati; Bacillota; Bacilli; Caryophanales; Staphylococcaceae.
GAUUAAGUUAUUAAGGGCGCACGGUGGAUGCCUUGGCACUAGAAGCCGAUGAAGGACGUUACUAACGACGAUAUGCUUUGGGGAGCUGUAAGUAAGCUUUGAUCCAGAGAUUUCCGAAUGGGGAAACCCAGCAUGAGUUAUGUCAUGUUAUCGAUAUGUGAAUACAUAGCAUAUCAGAAGGCACACCCGGAGAACUGAAACAUCUUAGUACCCGGAGGAAGAGAAAGAAAAUUCGAUUCCCUUAGUAGCGGCGAGCGAAACGGGAAGAGCCCAAACCAACAAGCUUGCUUGUUGGGGUUGUAGGACACUCUAUACGGAGUUACAAAGGACGACAUUAGACGAAUCAUCUGGAAAGAUGAAUCAAAGAAGGUAAUAAUCCUGUAGUCGAAAAUGUUGUCUCUCUUGAGUGGAUCCUGAGUACGACGGAGCACGUGAAAUUCCGUCGGAAUCUGGGAGGACCAUCUCCUAAGGCUAAAUACUCUCUAGUGACCGAUAGUGAACCAGUACCGUGAGGGAAAGGUGAAAAGCACCCCGGAAGGGGAGUGAAAUAGAACCUGAAACCGUGUGCUUACAAGUAGUCAGAGCCCGUUAAUGGGUGAUGGCGUGCCUUUUGUAGAAUGAACCGGCGAGUUACGAUUUGAUGCAAGGUUAAGCAGUAAAUGUGGAGCCGUAGCGAAAGCGAGUCUGAAUAGGGCGUUUAGUAUUUGGUCGUAGACCCGAAACCAGGUGAUCUACCCUUGGUCAGGUUGAAGUUCAGGUAACACUGAAUGGAGGACCGAACCGACUUACGUUGAAAAGUGAGCGGAUGAACUGAGGGUAGCGGAGAAAUUCCAAUCGAACCUGGAGAUAGCUGGUUCUCUCCGAAAUAGCUUUAGGGCUAGCCUCAAGUGAUGAUUAUUGGAGGUAGAGCACUGUUUGGACGAGGGGCCCCUCUCGGGUUACCGAAUUCAGACAAACUCCGAAUGCCAAUUAAUUUAACUUGGGAGUCAGAACAUGGGUGAUAAGGUCCGUGUUCGAAAGGGAAACAGCCCAGACCACCAGCUAAGGUCCCAAAAUAUAUGUUAAGUGGAAAAGGAUGUGGCGUUGCCCAGACAACUAGGAUGUUGGCUUAGAAGCAGCCAUCAUUUAAAGAGUGCGUAAUAGCUCACUAGUCGAGUGACACUGCGCCGAAAAUGUACCGGGGCUAAACAUAUUACCGAAGCUGUGGAUUGUCCUUUGGACAAU